This 631-nucleotide long non-coding RNA is filed under the name Meleagris gallopavo (turkey). Its description in RNAcentral is "lncRNA (ENSMGAG00000021920.1)". The record is from RNAcentral. Lineage: Eukaryota; Metazoa; Chordata; Aves; Galliformes; Phasianidae.
AGCACUGGUGUUGAAAUGGCUGGAUCAGUAACCUAAUUCCCUGUCCUGGUCAUGUCUGUUACAGUGCCGUGAGCUGGCCUGCUUGGAAGUUGAGUUUGACAGUAGGGUGAAAAAAAAACAAUUGGCAGGGGUUAGCCGCUCAGCAGCUGGCUCACGCCUGACCCCGGUCAAGAACCAGAAUCUAGGAGUUCCUCUGCCCACCUCCCUUGAGGGGCUGCAUCUGUGUGCUUGUGUGCCAUGCAGAGAAAGGAGGAGCAGAAGCAUCCCCCUGACUUUACCUCUGAAGUUGCUCCCUUCUGAGCAGGAAGCAGUCAGCAAGGUAAUCAUCUGCCAACCGUUGAAAAUCCUUUGCAAACUUUCAAAAAUUCCUACUGGUUCCAAAGAUGCAGACAUUAAAGUCCCUCUGUCUUCAUGCAGAACUGAUUGUUUUCUAAGCUCCCUUGCAUCUAGUGUGACACAUAAUAAAGUAAAUUGAUUGGAGCAAAAUAAAUGGAAAAUUCAUGGGAGAAGGAGAAAGAAGAAAAUGUCUGAGCUGCUGCUCGUUCUCCUUAUAUGGUCAUGUCCUUUACCAAGCUGGAAGUCGCUGGAUGCUACUAGGGCAAAAGGGUGAGGCUUAGUCCCCUAGGAGGCA